Molecule: transfer RNA, 71 nt
Filed under: Loxodonta africana (African savanna elephant)
Lineage: Eukaryota; Metazoa; Chordata; Mammalia; Proboscidea; Elephantidae
Rfam family: tRNA
About the family: Transfer RNA (tRNA) molecules are approximately 80 nucleotides in length. Their secondary structure includes four short double-helical elements and three loops (D, anti-codon, and T loops).
Source: Rfam by way of RNAcentral
GCAUUGGUGCUUCAGUGGUAGAAUUCUUAUCUUCCACGCUGGAGACUCAGGUUUGAUUCCUGGCCAGUGCA